AAAUUCCAACUAUAAAUUCAUUGUGUAUCUUAAGAUAUCACCAAAAUCCUAACAAUAGCUUCAAACCCUAGUUUUUAUACAUCCAUAUGAAAAUUUCUUCAUAUCUCACAAACUAAGCACUCAAAUGCCACAAAUUUUGUAUGUAUAGCUUUUCAACACAAUUAUCUAUCUUUUCUAAAAGAUUUGAGCUAGAAAUUUACUUAGAAACUUAAGAUAUGGCCCCAACCAUUACUAUAAACAAAAUCACUUACUUAUUGCUUUUGAUUUGGAUGUGAUGACUUCUACCCUUUAUAACUUCUUUAUCCAAACUCCAAAUUCAUCAAAUAAUAUAUGAAAAAUAUAGUCAAAAAAAGGUUCUCUUUAACCUUAAUUGCCGAUCCUUCGUUGCUUUGUAUAAACAUAUGUUAUAUCCCAAAGAGUGAUAGUAGGUACAAAAU
Molecule: long non-coding RNA, 437 nt
Filed under: Physcomitrium patens
Lineage: Eukaryota; Viridiplantae; Streptophyta; Bryopsida; Funariales; Funariaceae
Description: long non-coding RNA (PPAT_LNC009036)
Source: RNAcentral